AUCCAUCUGACGAGUCCCGAAUAGGAGGAAACGUGAGUUUCGGAU
Molecule: non-coding RNA, 45 nt
Filed under: Schistosoma margrebowiei
Lineage: Eukaryota; Metazoa; Platyhelminthes; Trematoda; Strigeidida; Schistosomatidae
Source: RNAcentral